CAGUCGCCGCGGUAAUACAGAGGGUGCAAGCGUUAAUCGGAAUUACUGGGCGUAAAGCGCGCGUAGGUGGUUCGCCAAGUUGGAUGUGAAAUCCCCGGGCUCAACCUGGGAACUGCAUCCAAAACUGGCGAGCUAGAGUAUGGUAGAGGGUGGUGGAAUUUCCUGUGUAGCGGUGAAAUGCGUGGAUAUAGGAAGGAACAUCAGUGGCGAAGGCGACCACCUGGACUGAUACUGACACUGAGGUGCGAAAGCGUGGGGAGCAAACAGGAUUAGAUACCCCAGUAGUCCCUGUCUCUUAUAC
Molecule: ribosomal RNA, 301 nt
Filed under: uncultured bacterium
Lineage: Bacteria
Description: partial 16S ribosomal RNA
Rfam family: Bacterial small subunit ribosomal RNA
Source: RNAcentral